CCUGGCUCAGGACGAACGCUGGCGGCGCGCCUAACACAUGCAAGUCGAACGAGCGAGAGAGAGCUUGCUUUCUCGAGCGAGUGGCGAACGGGUGAGUAACGCGUGAGGAACCUGCCUCAAAGAGGGGGACAACAGUUGGAAACGACUGCUAAUACCGCAUAAGCCCACGGCUCGGCAUCGAGCAGAGGGAAAAGGAGCAAUCCGCUUUGAGAUGGCCUCGCGUCCGAUUAGCUAGUUGGUGAGGUAACGGCCCACCAAGGCGACGAUCGGUAGCCGGACUGAGAGGUUGAACGGCCACAUUGGGACUGAGACACGGCCCAGACUCCUACGGGAGGCAGCAGUGGGGAAUAUUGCACAAUGGGGGAAACCCUGAUGCAGCGACGCCGCGUGGAGGAAGAAGGUCUUCGGAUUGUAAACUCCUGUUGUUGAGGAAGAUAAUGACGGUACUCAACAAGGAAGUGACGGCUAACUACGUGCCAGCAGCCGCGGUAAAACGUAGGUCACAAGCGUUGUCCGGAAUUACUGGGUGUAAAGGGAGCGCAGGCGGGAAGACAAGUUGGAAGUGAAAUCCAUGGGCUCAACCCAUGAACUGCUUUCAAAACUGUUUUUCUUGAGUAGUGCAGAGGUAGGCGGAAUUCCCGGUGUAGCGGUGGAAUGCGUAGAUAUCGGGAGGAACACCAGUGGCGAAGGCGGCCUACUGGGCACCAACUGACGCUGAGGCUCGAAAGUGUGGGUAGCAAACAGGAUUAGAUACCCUGGUAGUCCACACUGUAAACGAUGAUUACUAGGUGUUGGAGGAUUGACCCCUUCAGUGCCGCAGUUAACACAAUAAGUAAUCCACCUGGGGAGUACGACCGCAAGGUUGAAACUCAAAGGAAUUGACGGGGGCCCGCACAAGCAGUGGAGUAUGUGGUUUAAUUCGACGCAACGCGAAGAACCUUACCAAGUCUUGACAUCCUGCGACGGUUCUGGAAACAGUACUUUCCUUCGGGACGCAGAGACAGGUGGUGCAUGGUUGUCGUCAGCUCGUGUCGUGAGAUGUUGGGUUAAGUCCCGCAACGAGCGCAACCCUUAUGGUCAGUUACUACGCAAGAGGACUCUGGCCAGACUGCCGUUGACAAAACGGAGGAAGGUGGGGAUGACGUCAAAUCAUCAUGCCCUUUAUGACUUGGGCUACACACGUACUACAAUGGCGUUAAACAAAGAGAAGCAAGACCGCGAGGUGGAGCAAAACUCAGAAACAACGUCCCAGUUCGGACUGCAGGCUGCAACUCGCCUGCACGAAGUCGGAAUUGCUAGUAAUCGCAGAUCAGCAUGCUGCGGUGAAUACGUUCCCGGGCCUUGCACACACCGC
RNAcentral lists this ribosomal RNA (1354 nucleotides) under uncultured bacterium. Its description in RNAcentral is "bacterial SSU rRNA". It matches the Rfam family "Bacterial small subunit ribosomal RNA", at positions 18 to 1393 of the family's 1533-position model. The record is from RNAcentral.